Molecule: ribosomal RNA, 1512 nt
Filed under: Dehalococcoidia bacterium
Lineage: Bacteria; Bacillati; Chloroflexota; Dehalococcoidia
Description: bacterial SSU rRNA
Rfam family: Bacterial small subunit ribosomal RNA
Source: RNAcentral
UGGAGAGUUUGAUCCUGGCUCAGGAUAAACGUUGGCGGUGUGCCUUAUGCAUGCAAGUCGUACGAGGUUAUGGUCUUCGGAUUGUAACCGAGUGGCGAACGGUUGAGUAACACGUAAGUAACCUGCCUGCAAGUGGGGAAUAACCUGUCGAAAGGCAGGCUAAUACCGCAUAUGAUAAUCGAGUAUUGCUUGAUUAUUAAAGCCUUAGGGUGCUUGGAGAUGGGCUUGCGUCUGAUUAGCUAGUUGGUGAGGUAAUGGCUCACCAAGGCGAUGAUCAGUAGCUGGUCUGAGAGGAUGGUCAGCCAGAUGGGGAUUGAGAUACGGCCCCAACUCCUACGGGAGGCAGCAGCAGGGGAUAUUGGGCAAUGGGCGAAAGCCUGACCCAGCGACACCGCGUGAGGGAGGAAGGCCUUCGGGUUGUAAACCUCUUUUCUCGAGGAAGAAUUUUGACGGUACUCGAGGAAUAAGCCUCGGCUAACUACGUGCCAGCAGCCGCGGUAAGACGUAGGAGGCGAACGUUAUCCGGAUUUACUGGGCGUAAAGAGAGCGUAGGCGGCUUUUUAAGUCAAGUGUGAAAUCUUGUGACUCAAUCAGAAGAAGCCGCUUGAUACUGGAUGGCUUGAGGGAAGCAGAAGGAAAUGGAAUUCCCAGUGUAGCGGUGAAAUGCGUUGAUAUUGGGAAGAACACCAGUGGCGAAGGCGAUUUCCUAGGCUUUUCCUGACGCUGAGGCUCGAAAGCGUGGGGAGCGAAGCGGAUUAGAUACCCGCGUAGUCCACGCCUUAAACGGUGGAUAUUAGGUAUGGGGAGUAUCGACCCUCUCCGUGUCGAAGCUGACGCUUUAAAUAUCCCGCCUGGGGAGUACGGCCGCAAGGCUAAAACUCAAAGGAAUUGACGGGGGCCCGCACAAGCAGCGGAGCGUGUGGUUUAAUUCGAUGAUACACGAAGAACCUUACCAGGGCUUGAUAUGCCAGGAGUAGGAUUCCGAAAGGAGGACGACCUGUAUCCAGUCAGGAGCUGGCACAGGUGCUGCAUGGCUGUCGUCAGCUCGUGCCGUGAGGUGUUGGGUUAAGUCCCGCAACGAGCGUAACCCUUGUCCUAUGUUAAAUUCUCAUAGGAGACUGCCUUGUACAGCAAGGAGGAAGGUGAGGAUGACGUCAAGUCAGCAUGGCCCUUAUGUCCUGGGCUACACACACGCUACAAUGGGUGAUACAGAGGGUUGCCAAGGAGCAAUCCGGAGCUAAUCCCAAAAAAUCAUCCUUAGUUCGGAUUGCAGGCUGAAAUCGCCUGCAUGAAGUCGGAGUUGCUAGUAACCGCAGGUCAGCUAUACUGCGGUGAAUACGUUCUCGGGCCUUGUACACACCGCCCGUCACGCCAUGGGAGUCGGAAACGCCUGAAGUCGAUGAGCUAACUUGCUUUUGGCAAGAAGCAGUUGCCGAGGGUGGAGCUGGUGACUGUGACGAAGUCGUAACAAGGCAGCCGUACGGGAACGUGUGGCUGAAUCACCUCCUUUCU